CGCAGGCCCCGCCCUACUCACCCAGGAAAAGGCCGGUGGCGAAAGCGGCGCCCAGUGCGGCGGAGGCCAGGGCCAGCGCGGCGGGCACCGAGAGCCGGGGUGCGGGAUGGAUCAUGAUGCGGCCAGGAGGAACCGCAGUCUUAUGCAAAUGGCAUCAGAUCCCACGAGCUGGCACACAGUAGGUGCUCAAGAAAUGGCCGCUGUUGGAGUGGAGACCUUUGGGGAGGAAAGUGAUGGCAGAGUUGCAACUUGGAGGUAGUAAGGAGGCUCCAGGACCAACAGGGACACAAGCUUCUACUCUUGUUGUGCUGCCAUCCUCAUCAUGUGGCUUCACCUCAUUGAACAAGUUGGCUGCUUGAGCUCCAGCCAUCACAUCUUCACCUUAAUUUUCAGAAGAAAGAAAAGGACAAAAUAGGACUCACGGCUUUCCUUUAACGAUACUUCCUGAAGGAUACUCCUUGUAUUAUUUGGUCAGCACUUAGUCAUAUGGCCGCACUUCAGUUUAGAAAUUGUCUUUAUUCUAGAUCAUUAUAUUCUCAGAGAAAAAUCAGUUCUAUCAUUAAACUUGAAAGGGAGAAUGGGUACUGGGAACACUGAGCUGCAUUUUACAGAUAAAGAAACCGAGGCUCAGAGAGACAAACAACCAGGUUACACAGCCAGGAAAAGGUGAAGCCUGGACCUUCUGUCCCUGGCCCCUGUGGAACCAAUGGGGCUCCAAAGACACACACUGCCAAUUUCCUGGGGUGGGUGAUGGUGAGGAAGACUGUGGAUAUGUGCAUUCUCCCCUUCCUAGGCCCCAGAAACACCCAGGGCCCAAGUCCUGCUCUCCAGACACUCCCUUGUGCCUUCAAGCACUGGCAGCCUCUCCGGGCCCAGAUCCGUCAUCCUGGCACCAACCAUGCCCCGGGCCUGACUCCAUCCAUCCCACUAAUGCCGGCAUCGACUGUGCUCAGGCACGUUCCUGAGGCGGCCUCAAGAGCGCUGAAUAAUUCAGGCAAGCGUAAUGGGAUAAUGAAUUUACUGACAACCCA
Mustela lutreola (European mink) is the source of this 1031-nucleotide long non-coding RNA. RefSeq lists it as uncharacterized. Lineage: Eukaryota; Metazoa; Chordata; Mammalia; Carnivora; Mustelidae. The record is from RefSeq and is a predicted model, not a curated record. The transcript has 3 exons.